GAAACGACUGCUAAGACUGGAUAGGAGACAAGAAGGCAUCUUUUUGUUUUUAAAAGACCUAGCAAUAGGUAUGCUUAGGGAGGAGCUUGCGUCACAUUAGUUAGUUGGUGGGGUAAAGGCUUACCAAGACUAUGAUGUGUAGCCGGGCUGAGAGGUUGAACGGCCACAUUGGGACUGAGACACGGCCCAAACUCCUACGGGAGGCAGCAGUAGGGAAUCUUCGGCAAUGGAGGAAACUCUGACCGAGCAACGCCGCGUGAACGAUGAAGUAUUUCGGUACGUAAAGUUCUUUUAUUAGGGAAGAAUAAAUGAUGGAAAAAUCAUUCUGACGGUACCUAAUGAAUAAGCCCCGGCUAACUAUGUGCCAGCAGCCGCGGUAAUACAUAGGGGGCAAGCGUUAUCCGGAAUUAUUGGGCGUAAAGGGUGCGUAGGCGGUUAAAUAAGUUUAUGGUCUAAGUGCAAUGCUUAACAUUGUGAUGCUAUAAAAACUGUUUAGCUAGAGUAAGAUAGAGGCAAGUGGAAUUCCAUGUGUAGUGGUAAAAUGCGUAAAUAUAUGGAGGAACACCAGUAGUGAAGGCGGCUUGCUGGGUCUUUACUGACGCUGAGGCACGAAAGCGUGGGGAGCAAACAGGAUUAGAUACCCUGGUAGUCCACGCCGUAAACGAUGAGUACUAAAUGUUGGGUAAAACCAGUGUUGAAGUUAACACAUUAAGUACUCCGCCUGAGUAGUACGUACGCAAGUAUGAAACUUAAAGGAAUUGACGGGACUCCGCACAAGCGGUGGAUCAUGUUGUUUAAUUCGAAGGUACCCGAAAAACCUCACCAGGUCUUGACAUGCUUCUGCAAAGCUGUAGAAACACAGUGGAGGUUAUCAGUUGCACAGGUGGUGCAUGGUUGUCGUCAGCUCGUGUCGUGAGAUGUUGGGUUAAGUCCCGCAACGAGCGCAACCCUUAUUGUUAGUUGCCAGCACGUAAUGGUGGGGACUUUAGCAAGACUGCCAGUGAUAAAUUGGAGGAAGGUGGGGACGACGUCAAAUCAUCAUGCCCCUUAUGACCUGGGCUACAAACGUGAUACAAUGGCUGUUACAAAGGGUAGCUGAAACGUAAGUUUUUGGCGAAUCUCAAAAAAACAGUCUCAGUUCGGAUUGAAGUCUGCAACUCGACUUCAUGAAGUUGGAAUCGCUAGUAAUCGCGAAUCAGCAUGUCGCGGUGAAUACGUUCACGGGGUUUGUACACACCGCCCGUCA
This 1246-nucleotide ribosomal RNA is filed under the name Peach red leaf phytoplasma. RNAcentral describes it as "bacterial SSU rRNA". It matches the Rfam family "Bacterial small subunit ribosomal RNA", at positions 153 to 1399 of the family's 1533-position model. The record is from RNAcentral. Lineage: Bacteria; Bacillati; Mycoplasmatota; Mollicutes; Acholeplasmatales; Acholeplasmataceae.